AUAAGUUAGGUGCCUACCUAAGCCACAAUUAAACACAGUUCAUAAUGUAAUUGGAUAAGCAUUACAUACAUAAAUCGCAUACAUGUUUCUGUUUAUCAUCUUCUUGUUUGCUUCUUGGAAUUCUUUUCCAUUAAUGUUGUGAUUCAUGAUUGGAAAACUCUGGUCUUGUGUGAAAUUAAAGGAUGAGAAAAUUACAUCUAUUUUAAUUUUUAAGUUCAAAAGUAUAUCUAUACACCCUUACCAACAACCUCAAUCCACCCCCUCAAUCCCAUCAUCCACGCCAUACUCACUAUCUGCCGAUUCAAUUUUUACGAGGCAGUGGAAAGACAAUGCUUGCCUCCCAUCAAAUCACCACAACCCACCCCUUUACCCACUAUCUCCCAAUUCUCUUUCUAUAUGUAUACAUAUAAUUAUACACAAAAUAUCUCAUACGCUUUUUCCUCGUACCCUUUGCUGCAAAUUUUUCUCAUUCGUAAUGAAAUUUAAACAAACCUUGCGUCGGCAUCUCCAACGUUGACGAUUCCCAAGCAGCAAUUGAUUCAUGAUUCCAACUUUGGCGGACUUUUGUCGAAGAUUGUUGAUUCCAACUUCAGAUUAAUCUAUUGUGAGGAGAUUGAUGGUCAGUUGUGGAGGUCCUUUUAGAAGUAGAUUUCAUAGACAACCUAUGUCUCCUCUUCUUAUGUAUUUGAUGGGAAAUGGAUAAGAAAGGGGGUGGACUUUUGCAACGAGCUUUGGCCUCGAUGUGCUUCGAAAUUGUUAAUUUGUUUGAGGUGGUGGAACAGCCAGAUUUUGUGAUAGCAACGGUGGCGACGGUUUAUUGUUUGUUGUGGUGGCUAUAAACAGGCAGAGAUCGUGCCAUGGUCAGUUUGUUGAAGGUAUUGGUGCAAAUGAUGGAAGUGGUGAUGCUGCGGAAUUGUGGUGAAGGUAUCAUUUAUGGUUGUGGAUUUAAAUUGAAGGUCGUAAUGGACUGGUCCAUUGGAGGUGAUAGUGGUGGUGACUAG
RNAcentral lists this long non-coding RNA (1001 nucleotides) under Olea europaea (common olive). RNAcentral's name for it is "long non-coding RNA (OEUR_LNC003254)". Lineage: Eukaryota; Viridiplantae; Streptophyta; Magnoliopsida; Lamiales; Oleaceae. The record is from RNAcentral.